Molecule: long non-coding RNA, 257 nt
Filed under: Cercocebus atys (sooty mangabey)
Lineage: Eukaryota; Metazoa; Chordata; Mammalia; Primates; Cercopithecidae
Description: lncRNA (ENSCATG00000045563.1)
Source: RNAcentral
CCCUGGGUCCGCGCAGGGGCGCCGGCCUGGCGUCGGUUCCGAGUCCGGCGCGCGCUGGCGCUCCCGGGCCCCCAAGGGCUCCUUGCGGAAGUUCCUGGAGCACCUCUUCGGGGCCUGCAAGGCCAUCGGCGUGCUGACCAGCGGCGGGGAUGCUCAAGAACCCAAGGAUUGAGAACAAUGGACUUUUUGAUGUGUGUUGCAACAAACGCAUAGCCGAGGGCUGUAAAUCGGAGGGAUCACCAGGUCUGCCUACCAGC